This 72-nucleotide transfer RNA is filed under the name Deltaproteobacteria bacterium. Its description in RNAcentral is "tRNA-Gly". It matches the Rfam family "tRNA". Rfam says of the family: Transfer RNA (tRNA) molecules are approximately 80 nucleotides in length. Lineage: Bacteria; Pseudomonadati; Myxococcota; Myxococcia. The record is from RNAcentral.
GCGGGAUUAACUCAGCGGUAGAGUGUCAGCUUCCCAAGCUGAACGUCGUCGGUUCGAAUCCGAUAUCCCGCU